GAUUGAUAUUACCAUUGUGCGUUUUCCAAAGAUUCUUCACUACACAAAGACCUUAGACCUACCACAAGAAGGGCAUUUGGGAUAAGGGAAACAGAAGUUUUUGCAUUUGUGAGAAUGGGAAAGUUUGAAAGAAUGAUGGCAGAGCUUGCAAAGGAAUUGUUGGUUACCGUAUUUGUCGUGACCGUUUUUGUAUAAGCUGGAGGAACCGCAUUUGGGACAAGAGAGUGUUGAGUUGUUCAUAUCUGGAUACCUCCUUUGUCGAAAGUAGGUUGGGGGGUGUCCCCUCUUUAAAGGAUAAUGUGGUUUUUGGAAAGUUUCAAUACUUUUAGUUAACAUUAUCAA
This 342-nucleotide ribosomal RNA is filed under the name Fervidobacterium pennivorans. RNAcentral's name for it is "partial 23S ribosomal RNA". Lineage: Bacteria; Thermotogati; Thermotogota; Thermotogae; Thermotogales; Fervidobacteriaceae. The record is from RNAcentral.